This 111-nucleotide ribosomal RNA is filed under the name Jaculus jaculus (lesser Egyptian jerboa). Lineage: Eukaryota; Metazoa; Chordata; Mammalia; Rodentia; Dipodidae. The record is from RNAcentral.
GUCUACAGCCAUAGCCCCCUCAACAUGUCUGAUUUCUUUUGCUCUCAGAAGCUAAGGAGGGUUGGGCGUGGUUAGUGCUUGGAUGGGAGAAACACAGCCACAUUCUAGAUC